ACGAAAAAAGCUGCAAAAUCCUCCCUCAAAAAGAGACAUUACGCUUUUUUUUGUGAUCUCCCUCCAGACUUCAGCAAAUUAAUUUUGGCUCUCUCUCCUUUUACUUCUCCUUCAUUCUUAUCUUUCGUCCUCUCCGAUUUUCGACCAUCUCUACGCUUUGUUCUCUAAAAUUGUAGUCUUCAUCUUCGUUUGACUGUGUUGUGCCCUAAGUCGAGCUUCUUUGCACAUUUUGCACCGAUUCAAGCAAUUCAUAAGAAACUAUAGCAUAGAAGACACUUAUAUAGUGUUGAGGAGCACCGUCGGCAAGAAGAAGAAGAAGAAGAGAUGUUUGGAAGAGGAAAGCGAAAGAACACGCAACCGAAGAAAAAAAAUCCAAAGCAUACUAUUGAAAAAGAAGUUCAUGGAGGAAAUUAAGCUUUUAGUGAUUUAUGGCUCUUUUGGUCGGUGUUGAAAGUGAGGUGCUCAACGCUGAUGGUUGAUUGGGUUUUCAGAAGCUGCUAAUUUAAGGUGAGGAUUUUCUUGAUUUUUGAUUUUCAUAAACCCUUACCCCUUCAUUUUUGGGUUUUUCUCUUGAUGUUGUAGGAGGGGUAGUUCGAGCUUAUGGCCAAUGAAGCUUAUGUAAGAAGGCAUCUUCCAUGGAAGUGUAGAAAGGGGAGUUGAAAGGACCUAAAGAUAUUGGUUGAUGUAGCAAGAAAAAUAGAGUUGCAGCAACGGAAGGAAAAACUUGAGGAAAAUGGAGUUGGCAGCUGUUGGAGAACAGAGUUGUUGAAGAAGAUCUUUGGUGUUUUGAAAGAGGACAAGCAAUUAAUCUAAUCUUUGAUGAGUUGGUUGUCGACAGAUCCGGAAGCUAGUUGUUGUGCUGUGGAAAGUACUGCUUUGAAAGCAAAUUUGGCACGACCAUGGUGCGAAUUGUUCUUGUCGUUUGCUUCCCAAGGUUAAGACAAUGCCUCCCUUUAAACAUGAACUCGUCGGACGGAGAGUUGGAAUCACAGCGAAAGAAGUGUUCGCUUAGAAUUGGAGGAGAAGAUCAGUGAAGAAGGGAAAAUUGAAACAGUGAUGCAAAGAACUAAUUUUCUAGAUUUGGGAACUCUGGUUUUGUAAAGCUAUCAAGAAAGAGGAGGCUAACGGUCAUAAACGUUUGGAAAAUAAUAAAUUUAGAUUUGGAAAAAUAAUUGCAUCAUUAAAAACCCAAAACAUU
Benincasa hispida (wax gourd) is the source of this 1198-nucleotide long non-coding RNA. RefSeq lists it as uncharacterized. Lineage: Eukaryota; Viridiplantae; Streptophyta; Magnoliopsida; Cucurbitales; Cucurbitaceae. The record is from RefSeq and is a predicted model, not a curated record.